CAGCCGCCGCGGUAAUACGUAGGGUGCGAGCGUUAAUCGGAAUUACUGGGCGUAAAGCGUGCGCAGGCGGUUAUAUAAGACAGAUGUGAAAUCCCCGGGCUCAACCUGGGACCUGCAUUUGUGACUGUAUAGCUAGAGUACGGUAGAGGGGGAUGGAAUUCCGCGUGUAGCAGUGAAAUGUGUAGAUAUGCGGAGGAACACCGAUGGCGAAGGCAGCCCCCUGGGCCAACACUGACGCUCAUGCACGAAAGCGUGGGGAGCAAACAGGAUUAGAUACCCCCGUAGUCCCUGUCUCUUAUAC
This 301-nucleotide ribosomal RNA is filed under the name uncultured bacterium. RNAcentral describes it as "partial 16S ribosomal RNA". It matches the Rfam family "Bacterial small subunit ribosomal RNA", at positions 509 to 807 of the family's 1533-position model. The record is from RNAcentral.